Molecule: long non-coding RNA, 1404 nt
Organism: Megalobrama amblycephala (Wuchang bream)
Lineage: Eukaryota; Metazoa; Chordata; Actinopteri; Cypriniformes; Xenocyprididae
Exons: 3
Source: RefSeq, a predicted model, not a curated record
CGGAGUCGACACUGAUGGAGAGACUCAGGAAGAAGUUACAACUUUUAGACGUUUCUGAAUGGAACCUCGACAACAGCGUGGAAGAUGUUCUGAAGGAGAAACAGAAGAUCACUACUCAUGUCUGCCAUGUUUUACAAUCAGAGGAUAAAGCAGAUGCUCCGCAAGCCUUCAGUUCCUCAAUGAUUCUACAGAGCAUGAACUAAUGACCUUGUGUCAUGCGCAUACAUGCAAUUAAAUUUGCAUCAAUUAAAGGCAGUAAAAUAAUAUCAUGUUGCACUCAAUAUACUGUAUAUUUAAUUAAGGAUAGCAUAUUUGUGUAACUCCUUAAAAUAGGCUUCACUUUAUUUAAGCAAAAUAUUUGUUUCUUCUGGUUUCAGUGUGUAAUCUGAUCUGGCCGAGUUCUUUGCAUGAGUGCACAUGUGUAUUGAAUGAUUAUUUUAAUUCACGUCUUUUGUGUGAGAGACUUUAUAAAGAUUUGAGUUCGUGUUUCUGCAAGAUAAUUCUGGCCUGUGUAAUUUAUAUUGAACAAAUCCCCUGGGAUCUCACAUGGCAAAAUCUACUUCCAUAAUUCACCUGACGUAUUAUUGUCAUGAACUCCAGGACGAUUACUGUGAGAGAAUGCAUCAAAUUUUAUUUCAUUCACACACACCUCAGGGAGAAACACACACAGAUACACACUCAAACACACACAGGUUUGUGAAUGAUACAUUCACUGAUUUUAUAUCAGGUCAAUGAUAUUUUCUAUCCCUGAUAUGACUUUUCUGUUUAUCAUUGCUUUGGCACAAAAUGCAUUCAAUGACGACAUCUUUCAAUUUACAUGCAUUCUUUUCUCACAUAUACACAAACGCCACCAAAGGUUUAUGUACUAUACAGGCCAAUUUGCACGUUUACAUACUCUUUUCAAAACUGUUAAACUUAAGUUCAAAACCUAAAAAAACACAAAAAUGAAUAAGACAGAUAUUUGCAACAUUAAUACCAUAUUGAAGUAUAUUCUGAAUCUAAAAAAUCAAAAACAUGUGUCUUUCGAUUCAUUACCAUCCAUUCAAAAGGGGAAAACUUGUGAAUAAUUUUGUACUGUAAUGUAAACAUGGGCUUUGUAACAUAUACUACAGUGAAUUAGUGUCAUUCGGCAGUUGAGAGUGUCAUUCUUGUUUUGUAAAGAAAUUCUGAAAAAAAAGGCCAAAGUAUUGAAAAAUGUGUCCUAGUGAUUGUAAAAAAUGCUGGUUGAGAUGCUUUUGCCUUGUUACUGUAGACUGCUUAAAUUUCUAAGUUGAUUACGUGAUCAUCAUUGAUGAAUCAGUCAAUCUGUGUGUUUUUCCACAGUAAAUGAUCAGAGUUGAAGGGGGAAAAUUUCUGUUUCUCAUUAAAGGGAUAGUUCACCCAAAAAUGAAAAUUUGAUGUUUA